CCACGGGAGGCUGCAGUGGGGAAUAUUGGACAAUGGGCGAAAGCCUGAUCCAGCCAUGCCGCGUGUGUGAAGAAGGCCUUCGGGUUGUAAAGCACUUUCAGUGGGGAAGAAAGCCUUGGGGCUAAUACCCUCGAGGAAGGACAUCACCCACAGAAGAAGCACCGGCUAACUCCGUGCCAGCAGCCGCGGUAAUACGGAGGGUGCGAGCGUUAAUCGGAAUUACUGGGCGUAAAGCGCGCGUAGGCGGUCUGAUAAGCCGGUUGUGAAAGCCCCGGGCUCAACCUGGGAACGGCAUCCGGAACUGUCAGGCUAGAGUGCAGGAGAGGAAGGUAGAAUUCCCGGUGUAGCGGUGAAAUGCGUAGAGAUCGGGAGGAAUACCAGUGGCGAAGGCGGCCUUCUGGACUGACACUGACGCUGAGGUGCGAAAGCGUGGGUAGCAAACAGGAUUAGAUACCCUGGAGUC
This 463-nucleotide ribosomal RNA is filed under the name Vreelandella stevensii. Its description in RNAcentral is "partial 16S ribosomal RNA". It matches the Rfam family "Bacterial small subunit ribosomal RNA", at positions 339 to 795 of the family's 1533-position model. The record is from RNAcentral. Lineage: Bacteria; Pseudomonadati; Pseudomonadota; Gammaproteobacteria; Oceanospirillales; Halomonadaceae.